AACGAACGCUGGCGGCGUGGAUUAGGCAUGCAAGUCUAACGGAGUCAGGGGAAUUGGCAACAAGACCCCGAAACUUAGUGGCGAAAGGGUGAGUAACACGUGGGCAAUCUGCCCUAAACCUGGGGAUAACUGGCUGAAAGGCCUGUUAAUACCGAAUGUGGUCACCGAAAGGCAUCUUUUGGUGAUUAAAGGUGGGGACCUUCGGGCCUACCGGUUUAGGAUGAGCCCGCGGCCUAUUAGCUUGUUGGUAAGGUAGCGGCUUACCAAGGCGAUGAUGGGUAGCCGGACUGAGAGGUUGACCGGCCACACUGGGACUGAGACACUGCCCAGACUCCUACGGGAGGCUGCAGUCGAGAAUCUUUCGCAAUGGGCGCAAGCCUGACGAAGCGACGCCGCGUGGGCGAUGAAGGCCUUCGGGUUGUAAAGCCCUGUCACGAGGGAUGAAAUGCACAGAUGCUAAUAUCGUCUGUGUUUGACAGUACCUCGAGAG
RNAcentral lists this ribosomal RNA (490 nucleotides) under uncultured bacterium. Its description in RNAcentral is "bacterial SSU rRNA". It matches the Rfam family "Bacterial small subunit ribosomal RNA", at positions 29 to 486 of the family's 1533-position model. The record is from RNAcentral.